GUUCUGGUAUCUUAUCUAUGAUGAGUUUGUUUUAAAUAUUUUAUUUCAUCUUAAAUGUUAUAUACUGUUUAAAAUGUUUAUUUUCCUGUUUUUAUGAUGAUUUAAAUAACUCAAAUACAAUACAAAUAUGGAUUCAGAAGGAAGAUUUUUCGUUUUAUUUUAUAAAAGUAUUCAUUCGAUUGGUCCUGUCACAAUAUAUUAAGG
Molecule: long non-coding RNA, 204 nt
Filed under: Mytilus galloprovincialis (Mediterranean mussel)
Lineage: Eukaryota; Metazoa; Mollusca; Bivalvia; Mytilida; Mytilidae
Source: RNAcentral